GAUGAACGCUGGCGGCGUGCCUAAUACAUGCCAGUCGAGCGAACGGACGAGAAGCUUGCUUCUCUGAUGUUAGCGGCGGACGGGUGAGUAACACGUGGAUAACCUACCUAUAAGACUGGGAUAACUUCGGGAAACCGGAGCUAAUACCGGAUAAUAUUUUGAACCGCAUGGUUCAAAAGUGAAAGACGGUCUUGCUGUCACUUAUAGAUGGAUCCGCGCUGCAUUAGCUAGUUGGUAAGGUAACGGCUUACCAAGGCAACGAUGCAUAGCCGACCUGGGAGGGUGAUCGGCCACACUGGAACUGAGACACGGUCCAGACUCCUACGGGAGGCAGCAGUAGGGAAUCUUCCGCAAUGGGCGAAAGCCUGACGGAGCAACGCCGCGUGAGUGAUGAAGGUCUUCGGAUCGUAAAACUCUGUUAUUAGGGAAGAACAUAUGUGUAAGUAACUGUGCACAUCUUGACGGUACCUAAUCAGAAAGCCACGGCUAACUACGUG
RNAcentral lists this ribosomal RNA (497 nucleotides) under uncultured bacterium. RNAcentral's name for it is "partial 16S ribosomal RNA". It matches the Rfam family "Bacterial small subunit ribosomal RNA", at positions 28 to 507 of the family's 1533-position model. The record is from RNAcentral.